UGGCACGUUAACUAAAUCAUAUGAUCGAGUUGAUAAUUGUGAGGUGACGUGACAUCGAAGACUACCAAUGACUCGAUUGCAUUCGUACGUGCCCCGUGAAACGUACCAGAAAAUUGACCGUUUAUCCGAACAAUAUCGGCCAGACCGACUUUGCGGGCAUAAGAAUCCGAAAGACAUUUACAUCAUUUUUGGAGCAGGUCGUGGAGGUAAAACGUUGGGCGAAGUCGAAUGGGACGAGCGGAUCGUAAUGACCACCUAUGAUUGGACCAAGAUAAGCAAAUCGUUGGGGAUUGAAUGGGGCAAGAUUAAGUUGAGGGAUCAUAUUUGGUUUCAGUUUUUAUAAAUGUAGAAGGCGCAAACGGAGGUCAUGCUGAGUGCGACUGUAACCUCGUUGGAUGUUGAAUGACAAAAAAAUAUGGUCGACGAGAAGGACGAGCUGCUCGAAUAUCACGAGAUUUUAAUGGCGACAGGAAUCAAACCCCGCAUCACUCUCCCAACCACAAACGGAAUAAUUGGCACCGACCUUGGCAACAAGUACUCGCGCCGUGUCAAGGAAAAUUCCCCUCGAAAGACGGUCGUGGGAUUUGUUUACAUCAUCCAUCGGAGUAAACAUCUGUUCGGAAUCACUCGUGACGACUCGGUCGGGCGCGUACUUCAGCAACACGUUUUGAAGAAAUGUGGUCGAAAUGUGCGUUUCAUUGGGUCCGACAGGAUGAAGAUUUAUAGGAAUGCCAAGAAAGAAGUUUGGAAGGUCAAAACGUUAUAGAAGAGGCAAGUAAACUGUGAAUUGGUCAUCUUUGGGAUGGGUGUGACCUCAAAUACGGAAUUGAUUGCGAACAUCAAACCCCAAUUGGAUGAAGAUGACGGAUUUAAAUUGCCAGAUAAGCCUGCCAUGAGAAUGAAGGAUGGAUACAUUCAGGUCAAGGAUGCGAGCUAAAUAAUAAUAUAUAACCGACGUUAAUGGAAUUUAAUUUGCGAUUUUAUUUCUAAAUUUCUACUAGUUUAUGGAGACCGCUCCCCCCAACCACUACACCUCCGGGGGCAUUGUAACUUUCCCAGUAUCCUCAACGACCAUACUGCUUAUCCAAGGGUCAAGAGAAGGAAGAAGGAUUUCAAAAAAACGGCGUGAAAAGAUAUCGAAUACAUUCACAAACCACUCAUUUCCCUGUAUGAGAGACUGUUUUACAGAAAAUUUCAUGGACCGAUCAAGCUCGAAAUUAUGAUAAGAUGACAAGCGAUAGAGGAAAAAUUCAGAAAAAUUAUAUAUUAUCCUUUUAAUUUAAACACUUUAAAAACCGGUUGGAAAAUAAGAUUGGAUUUUAAAUUUGUAUUUCUUUUGCAGAUCCAGUCCGCUUAAAAUUUCAACGUUUUGCGAUCUAGGAAGAUACGGGAUUCCGUUUAGCGAGAAAUUGGUUUGAAAUUAAUUUGCGUUUGUACGAUACCGAAGAAUUCCGAUGAAGAGAGCAAUCUUUUACUAGUUUUAAUAAUAGUGUGAUUGUAAACAUAGAUAAUUGUAUGAGGGAGAAAAUUUAUGAAUUGUUGUGAUAUUGUGAAAUACUCGGUGUGUGAUGUGGUCACAAAAAAUGUAAUGCAAGUUGUAAAAUGAUAAAGUGUAGUAAGAUUUUUAGCAAGGUAUUUAUCUGGUUAGGGAAACAGGGUGGUGAGAUGAUUCUUCGAUAAGUGAUAUUAUCAGUUCAGUAUUUAACAAAAUGCAAAUAAUGCCCAUUUAUGUACUUAAGUUAAUUAUGCAAGUUUAAAGUGAAUAAGUACAGCAUGAAAAGUUGUUAGUGCAUAAUUUUCUAGCAAUAUUAGUGAUAAAUUUGUGAUGUAUUGAACUUUAAAUAUUUAACUAUGCCUUAUUUGUGAAAUUGAGAGAACUGUGUCGUAAUUUUUUAAUAAUAAAUACUGUCUCGAA
This is a long non-coding RNA of Folsomia candida, 1915 nucleotides long. RefSeq lists it as uncharacterized. Lineage: Eukaryota; Metazoa; Arthropoda; Collembola; Entomobryomorpha; Isotomidae. The record is from RefSeq and is a predicted model, not a curated record. The transcript has 5 exons.